GCCCCUCAGCGGCGCAGCCACCGCAGCCGCUACACAGACACAGCCUCCACCGCCACCGUAGAAGAUCCGUCGCCGUCGGAUUCUGAGCUUUUUUUCGUUCCAGAUCAACGCUUUCUUUGUCAGAUUCCCUUCGCGCAGCUAGUUGUUGAUUCUGAUGUUGUAAGAUCAACCAUCCGGUUCUCGAGGUUGUCUUCUGCACUUGUUGAAGCUGUUAGCUCUCCCUCACUUGGAAGAUUCCUCAGCUUUUUUUCAAAGCUUCACAACACUUCUUUCUUCCAACACAAUCAACUACAAAGAGCAAAUGUUGGAAGGUACUUCAAACUCUUUCAUUCAUCUCUGCUUCUUUUAACUAUUAAUUUUCUCUUUUUAUUUUUUAUUUCUAUGAAUUGUCCAGAUAAACUUUAGUUAAUGAUAUUAGUUGGAUAAAACUCUUUCUAGUGAUACUGAAUAAUUUGAAACAUACAUUGAAAAUAAAGCUUGUCAGAGUUUAUAGUUUAAGUUGGAGAAACAAGUAGUUAAAGUUGAUGAACUGGCAGUGUAAUAAUUGUGAAAUACUGAUGAAAAAUUUUUAGAAAAAAGUUGAAAAUCAAUUUUAAUUUAAUCAGAAAUCAUUCUAUUUUUUCAAAAA
Molecule: long non-coding RNA, 628 nt
Organism: Arachis duranensis
Lineage: Eukaryota; Viridiplantae; Streptophyta; Magnoliopsida; Fabales; Fabaceae
Exons: 3
Source: RefSeq, a predicted model, not a curated record